Molecule: ribosomal RNA, 1974 nt
Filed under: Serratia marcescens
Lineage: Bacteria; Pseudomonadati; Pseudomonadota; Gammaproteobacteria; Enterobacterales; Yersiniaceae
Description: partial 23S ribosomal RNA
Rfam family: Bacterial large subunit ribosomal RNA
Source: RNAcentral
AAACCCGGUGAUCUAGCCAUGGGCAGGUUGAAGGUUGGGUAACACUAACUGGAGGACCGAACCGACUAAUGUUGAAAAAUUAGCGGAUGACUUGUGGCUGGGGGUGAAAGGCCAAUCAAACCGGGAGAUAGCUGGUUCUCCCCGAAAGCUAUUUAGGUAGCGCCUCGUGAACUCAUCUUCGGGGGUAGAGCACUGUUUCGGCUAGGGGGCCAUCCCGGCUUACCAAACCGAUGCAAACUCCGAAUACCGAAGAAUGUUAUCACGGGAGACACACGGCGGGUGCUAACGUCCGUCGUGAAGAGGGAAACAACCCAGACCGCCAGCUAAGGUCCCAAAGUCAUGGUUAAGUGGGAAACGAUGUGGGAAGGCACAGACAGCCAGGAUGUUGGCUUAGAAGCAGCCAUCAUUUAAAGAAAGCGUAAUAGCUCACUGGUCGAGUCGGCCUGCGCGGAAGAUGUAACGGGGCUAAACCAUGCACCGAAGCUGCGGCAGCGACGCUUAGGCGUUGUUGGGUAGGGGAGCGUUCUGUAAGCCGUUGAAGGUGGCCUGUGAGGGUUGCUGGAGGUAUCAGAAGUGCGAAUGCUGACAUAAGUAACGAUAAAGCGGGUGAAAAGCCCGCUCGCCGGAAGACCAAGGGUUCCUGUCCAACGUUAAUCGGGGCAGGGUGAGUCGACCCCUAAGGCGAGGCUGAAAAGCGUAGUCGAUGGGAAACAGGUUAAUAUUCCUGUACUUGGUGUUACUGCGAAGGGGGGACGGAGAAGGCUAGGCUGGCCGGGCGACGGUUGUCCCGGUUUAAGCGUGUAGGGGGUGUGACCUGGUAAAUCCGGUUGCAUAUCAACCCUGAGGCGUGAUGACGAUGCACUACGGUGCAGAAGUAGUUGAUGCCCUGCUUCCAGGAAAAUCCUCUAAGCUCCAGGUAACAUUAAAUCGUACCCCAAACCGACACAGGUGGUCAGGUAGAGAAUACCAAGGCGCUUGAGAGAACUCGGGUGAAGGAACUAGGCAAAAUGGUGCCGUAACUUCGGGAGAAGGCACGCUGGCAUGUAGGUGAAGUCCCUUGCGGAUGGAGCUGAAGCCAGUCGAAGAUACCAGCUGGCUGCAACUGUUUAAUAAAAACACAGCACUGUGCAAACACGAAAGUGGACGUAUACGGUGUGACGCCUGCCCGGUGCUGGAAGGUUAAUUGAUGGGGUCAGCCGCAAGGCGAAGCUCUUGAUCGAAGCCCCAGUAAACGGCGGCCGUAACUAUAACGGUCCUAAGGUAGCGAAAUUCCUUGUCGGGUAAGUUCCGACCUGCACGAAUGGCGUAAUGAUGGCCAGGCUGUCUCCACCCGAGACUCAGUGAAAUUGAACUCGCUGUGAAGAUGCAGUGUACCCGCGGCAAGACGGAAAGACCCCGUGAACCUUUACUAUAGCUUGACACUGAACAUUGAGCCUUGAUGUGUAGGAUAGGUGGGAGGCUUUGAAGCGUGGACGCCAGUCUGCGUGGAGCCAUCCUUGAAAUACCACCCUUUAAUGUUUGAUGUUCUAACUCUGCCCCAUAAUCUGGGGUGAGGACAGUGUCUGGUGGGUAGUUUGACUGGGGCGGUCUCCUCCCAAAGAGUAACGGAGGAGCACGAAGGUUAGCUAAUCACGGUCGGACAUCGUGAGGUUAGUGCAAAGGCAUAAGCUAGCUUGACUGCGAGAGUGACGGCUCGAGCAGGUACGAAAGUAGGUCUUAGUGAUCCGGUGGUUCUGAAUGGAAGGGCCAUCGCUCAACGGAUAAAAGGUACUCCGGGGAUAACAGGCUGAUACCGCCCAAGAGUUCAUAUCGACGGCGGUGUUUGGCACCUCGAUGUCGGCUCAUCACAUCCUGGGGCUGAAGUAGGUCCCAAGGGUAUGGCUGUUCGCCAUUUAAAGUGGUACGCGAGCUGGGUUUAGAACGUCGUGAGACAGUUCGGUCCCUAUCUGCCGUGGGCGUUGGAAGAUUGAGAGG